GGCCCUGUGGUGAAGUUCAUAUUAGAUUGCAAAUCUGAAGAUACAGAGAUAAUUCUGUUGGGGUCU
This is a non-coding RNA of Lethenteron reissneri (Far Eastern brook lamprey), 66 nucleotides long. The record is from the annotation of a RefSeq genome assembly. Lineage: Eukaryota; Metazoa; Chordata; Hyperoartia; Petromyzontiformes; Petromyzontidae.